AGCAGCCGCUAUGGCCCUGGCAUCUGGUCUUGUCCGUCAACAACACAGUGCUGUUUAACACAGGGCGACUGCGGGUCACCACCAGUGUCGAGGGCUCUUGUGAAGGCCGUCUUAUUUUAGAACUGGAAAGGAUGUGGACACCACCAAGUUCAAGGCCCUCAUUUAGAAGCCGGCCAUUCAAGGCCCAGUGCUCCCGAGAGACCUCGCCCGGGGCACAGAGUCACUCAUCCAGCUGGCAGCUCAGUGUCCACUGAGUGACCCGCUGGCACUGCUCGCUUCCUGCCCAGGCUACAUCCUGCACAGGGACGGGGACAUUUCUUCCCAGCAGAGGGGACGGCUCCUGGUGGGGACCGGAUGAGGCGCUUCUCUAGCAAACGCACCAGUCUUCCAAGGACACCGUGGUUUUAAGGAUCCGGCCUCUGUCUGGAGGCUGUCUGCAGGAAACGGAACCCCUCUGCACCCACACAAGCAGACGGACACUGCCCUGGGGAGUCUGUGGUGCACCUCCUUCCUGACUCUGGGGAGGGGCCGCCUCAGAAAGGCCGGUGGUUUCAGCAAGAAAGAGGACAUCUGUCCACCCAGGACACCUGUGAGGAGGGUCCUGGAUGAUCUCCACAUCUCAAGACCUUCAGCUUGACCACAUCUGCCAAGACUCUGUCUCCGAGUCACAACAUUCUCCAGUUCCAAGAAUCAGCCUCACAGAUUCAUCCCGACCCAGCGACACGGGGCGCUAAGAUUGUGACCACCCCGGGGCGUAAAGAGGCCAGCCCACGCGGAUCCCCUAGCAGCCCCACACUGAGCCUGCUCAUUGAAAACUGAUGGCAUCACCAGUUCACCUAGUGACGCUGAGGGCUUUGGUCUCCACCGGGACAGCCGCCCCACUCCGGUAGCUGGUGUCUGCCCAGGGACGAAUAGGCAGGUGUACCGAGAAGGACAUGUCCUGAGCGUCCCCCUUCCCCACGGUGGGCCUUUGAUCUCAGGCCCUUCCCACCUGCCAUCAUGACCCUUCGUGGGUCUCUGUCCCCUGAGUUCAGUCGAGGAAGCUGCGAUGACAAGGAAGAGUUCUGCACUUGGGUUCCUGGGCUCCUCCCAGGAUACGAAGAAGGGUCUUCGGGCUGGGAAAUUUGAAUAAAGAGAUGUUCUCCUUCUAAUUUAA
This is a non-coding RNA of Ictidomys tridecemlineatus (thirteen-lined ground squirrel), 1156 nucleotides long. The record is from RefSeq and is a predicted model, not a curated record. NCBI's taxonomy places the organism in Eukaryota, Metazoa, Chordata, Mammalia, Rodentia, Sciuridae.